This 465-nucleotide ribosomal RNA is filed under the name uncultured bacterium. RNAcentral's name for it is "partial 16S ribosomal RNA". It matches the Rfam family "Bacterial small subunit ribosomal RNA", at positions 28 to 507 of the family's 1533-position model. The record is from RNAcentral.
GACGAACGCUGGCGGCGUGCUUAACACAUGCAAGUCGAACGGAAAGGCCCCUUCGGGGGUACUCGAGUGGCGAACAGGUGAGUAACACGUGCGUAACCUGCCCUUGACUUCGGGAUAACUUCAGGAAACUGGGGCUAAUACCGGAUAGGAAUCCUUGCUGCAUGGUGGGGGUUGGAAAGCUUCGGCGGUUUUGGAUGGACUCGCGGCUUAUCAGCUUGUUGGUGGGGUAGUGGCUUACCAAGGCUUUGACGGGUAGCCGGCCUGAGAGGGCGACCGGCCACAUUGGGACUGAGAGACGGCACAGACUCCUACGGGAGGCAGAAGUGGGGAAGAUUGCACAAGGGGCGGAAGCCUGAUGCAGCAACGCCGCGGGCGGGAUGACGGCCUUCGGGUUGUAAACCGCUUUCAGCAGGGGCGAAGCUUGUGGUGACGGUACCUGCAGAAGAAGCACCGGCUAACUACGUG